Molecule: ribosomal RNA, 1351 nt
Filed under: uncultured marine eukaryote
Lineage: Eukaryota
Description: SSU rRNA
Rfam family: Eukaryotic small subunit ribosomal RNA
Source: RNAcentral
CACUUCUAAGGAAGGCAGCAGGCGCGCAAAUUACCCAAUCCUGACUCAGGGAGGUAGUGACAAGAAAUAACAAUAAACCGGCUUAUGCCGGUUUAAUUGGAAUGAGUACAAUUUAAACAUCUUAACGAGGAACAAUUGGAGGGCAAGUCUGGUGCCAGCAGCCGCGGUAAUUCCAGCUCCAAUAGCGUAUACUAAAGUUGUUGCAGUUAAAAAGCUCGUAGUUGGAUUUCUGUGGGGACGGAGCGGCCGGCCGCACAUCGCGGUUCGAGCUAGCGCUUUCCCUACAUCCUGCCGCGAACCGUGCUACCAUUAGUUUGGUGGCGCCGGGGAUCGGCUCGAUUACUUUGAGAAAAAUAGAGUGUUCAAAGCAGGCCACAUGCCUUGAAUAAGUUAGCAUGGAAUAAUAACUAAGGACUUCGGUUCUAUUUUGUUGGUGUUCGGGACUGAAGUAAUGAUUGAUAGGGACAGUUGGGGCGGUCUGUAUUCCAAAGCGAGAGGUGAAAUUCUUAGACCUUCGGAAGACAAACAGCUGCGAAAGCGUUCCGCAAGGAUGUUCCCUUUGAUCAAGAACGAAAGUUGGGGGAUCGAAGACGAUCAGAUACCGUCGUAGUCUCAACUAUAAACUAUACCAGCUAGGGAUCGGCCAACGUUAUUCUAUACCGACUUGGUCGGCACCUUAUGAGAAAUCAAAGCAUCUGGGUUCCGGGGGGAGUAUGGUCGCAAGGCUGAAACUUAAAGGAAUUGACGGAAGGGCACCACCAGCCGUGGAGCCUGUGGCUUAAUUUGACUCAACACGGGAAAACUUACCAGGUCCAGACAUAGUAAGGAUUGACAGAUUGAUAGCUCUUUCUUGAUUCUGUGGGUGGUGGUGCAUGGCCGUUCUUAGUUGGUGGAGUGAUUUGUCUGGUUAAUUCCGUUAACGAACGAGACCCCAGCCUGCUAAAUAGCGCGCGUGAGCUUUGCUCGCGGCGAGCUUCUUAGAGGGACUAUGAUGCGCGAUAGCACAUGGAAGUUUGGGGCAAUAACAGGUCUGUGAUGCCCUUAGAUGUUCUGGGCCGCACACGGGCUACACUGGCGCCUGCAACGAGCAUAUCAGCUGGCCCGAGAGGGUCUUGGCUAAUCUUUUGAACCGGCGCCGUGCUUGGGAUUGACCUUUGCAAUUGUUGGUCAUGCAACGAGGAAUGCCUUGUAAACGCGAGUCAUCAGCUCGCAUUGAAUACGUCCCUGCCCUUUGUACACACCGCCCGUCGCUCCUACCGAUGAAUGUUCCGAUGAAAUUUUCGGAGAGCACCUGUGAACUUGGCUCUGCCUUGCGAACGGGAGGCUCAAAGUCACUUAAAUCUGAACAUUU